UACGUAGGGUGCAAGCGUUAAUCGGAAUUACUGGGCGUAAAGCGUGCGCAGGCGGUGAUGUAAGACAGGUGUGAAAUCCCCGGGCUUAACCUGGGAACUGCAUUUGUGACUGCAUCGCUGGAGUGCGGCAGAGGGGGAUGGAAUUCCGCGUGUAGCAGUGAAAUGCGUAGAUAUGCGGAGGAACACCGAUGGCGAAGGCAAUCCCCGUGGGCCUGCACUGGACGCUCAUGCACGAAAGCGUGGG
RNAcentral lists this ribosomal RNA (244 nucleotides) under uncultured bacterium. Its description in RNAcentral is "partial 16S ribosomal RNA". It matches the Rfam family "Bacterial small subunit ribosomal RNA", at positions 524 to 765 of the family's 1533-position model. The record is from RNAcentral.